This 112-nucleotide unclassified non-coding RNA is filed under the name Thalassocella blandensis. The record is from RNAcentral. Lineage: Bacteria; Pseudomonadati; Pseudomonadota; Gammaproteobacteria; Cellvibrionales; Cellvibrionaceae.
GUCUUGAAUUGCACAAAUGUUGAACGUUUGUGUGAGGAAGUUAAAUGGGAAGUCUGGUGGAAAGCCAGCACUGCCCCCGCAACGGUAACCUGGCUUUUUUUAUCGAUGUGGC